AAAUAAAAAUGUCAGCCGCGUAAUAGUGCCUAAAUUUAGCACUUUUCUAAACGAAGAGCGCUCGCGGGGACAAUUUGAUUAAUAAACUGUUGAGUCGGCGCCCUGUCCCUGUCCCUGUGCACACAGCUUACGAAUGAUAGCCGCGAUCUACAAACAACUUUUGCUAAACUAAUUUGGAUAUUAAUAUUAUUGAAAAUAUUUUGACACAAUUGGUUGUAUAUCAACCACAGCUAUGCUCCUACGUUUGAUUUUUUUAGAUUUUUUAAUUAUUAUAACAGUUAGGUUCAUUUAAAAUUUGUAUGAAAUCUCUUAUUCGCUCCUAAUUUUUACAAUAAUUUAAAAAAAUUAAGAAACGCAAAUUAGGGUCAUAGCUAUGGUCAAUAUACAUCAAAUUAUCCAAAAAUAUUAUCCAUUAUGUCAAUAUCCAGAGAGGAAAAUGGGGACUACGUUUGUAUGGAGAAGCGGCCGUCCCCUUUCCUCUUAAGACUAGACGAAUAGUGCUACGUAGCUAAAAAUAUUAUAAAAAAUAUACAUUUAAACUACCACGAGUGUUUGUCAUCCUCCGUGCUAGCACGCCGCUCUCUUAAACUCCGUAUUUAAUACCUUAGCUAAAAUAUUCCAAGCUUAAUAAAAUACAACUUUAAUAAAAUAGUCCAAGUUUGAUUGUAACCAGGACUAUCGCUGCCAUGAGGCUACAUGGUUUAAUAGAAUGGUAAACAUUUCGUGCUAAUCCUAAAAUUGUGGCCUCAGUCCAAAAUAGCCCGCGGUAGUGCGAACAUCGCGUGUGAUAUUGUUUGUACCGGCGAUAUGGGCUUGGCCGGGGUUAAAAAUGAUGUCAAAACAUUAUUCCUUAUUAUCAACACGCUUGUUGGGUUAUUUCCUGGGUUUCUCGUGUUGUCAUAUGGCCUCGCAGACGGAAUCAACUGGGGGAUGAGACACGGACACGCCCCCACCACCAUCGUGUGCGGCGUGGUCGGGUUCCUGAUCCUCGGUGUCACUACCCUCGGCUACUGCGCGGCCAUCAAGGAAAAUAGGGUCAUGCUGUACAUAUACUCUGGUGUCAUGGCGCUGGCAGCAGUGAUAAACCUCGUGUCACUGUUUCUGAUCGAGCACGUAGAUAUAACAGUGACAGCGGCACCGAUCCUUAAUAUCGGCGGAGCGCUGCUGGCAUUGGCACUGGCGAUUAUCCUGGCGGGUCUGACACGAAGCGGCGUCAACCAAGGCUGUGUGCUGAGCCCGCCACCGUCCACGUACACACCUAACAUUUAAUCUGUUUCAUUAUCCUGGCGGGUCUGACACGUAACGGUGUCAACCAAGGUUGUGUGCAGAGCCCGCCGCCGUCCAAAUACACACCUAACAUUUAAUCUGUUUCAUUAUCCUGGGGGGUUUGACACAUAACGGUGUCAACCAAGGCUGAUGUGUGCUGAGCCCGCCGCUGUCCACGUACACACCUAACAUUUAAUCUGUUUCAUUAUCCUGGCGGGUCUGACACAUAACGGUGUCAACCAAGGCUGUGUGCUGAGCCCGCCGCCGUCCACGUACACACCUAACAUUUAAUCUGUUUCAUUAUCCUGGGGGGUCUGACACAUACCGGUGUCAACCAAGGCUGUGUGCUGAGCCCGCCGCCGUCCACGUACACACCUAACAUUUAAUCUGUUUCAUUAUCCUGGGGGGUCUGACACAUAACGGUGUCAACCAAGGCUGUGUGCUGAGCCCGCCGCCGUCCACGUACACACCUAACAUUUAAUCUGUUUCAUUAUCCUGGGGGGCCUGACACAUAACGGUGUCAACCAAGGCUGUGUGCUGAGCCCGCCGCCGUCCACGUGCACACCUAACAUUUAAUCUGUUUCAUUAUCCUGGCGGGUCUGACACGUAACGGUGUCAAACAAGGCUGUGUGCUGAGCCCGCCGCCGUCCACGUACACUACACACCUAACAUUUAAUCUGUUUCAUUAUCUUGACGGGUCUGACACGCAACCGAGUCAACCUAGGCUGCGUGCUCAUCUCGCCGCGUAUCCAGUUACACACCUAAAAUUUAAUAUUGUAUAUAUGUUAUGUCGCUAUGUCGUUUCAUUUCUUACGUCGCGUGGGUAAUUUGCAAAUAAUAGCCGUUAAUUACGGGUAGGCUAGAUAUAUGGGAGUGGGUAAUGUCAGCAUCAAAAGUAACGCAGACUACUUAUCAUAAAGAGAUAUAUUAUAUCUAUGUAGAACACACACACAAACACACACAGACAACUUUUUUGUGCAUUCUUUCAAUAUAAGAUUACCUAUUGGAUGUACUUCUCUCUUAAUAAUGUUACCUAGUUUUUAAUUAACAUAUCUAUGAUUGUAUAUUGACAGAGUAACUAGCUAUUUUAUGUAAAGGUUAAACCCGUCACAGACGGACGGUAAUAUACCGUAAGAUACCGACGGAUGCCGACAGAUAUCUUAGAGUAUAGCUAGGCACCACACACCAAAACCACCACCACAAAACCAUACCAAAAUGUAUAUCGCUGUCUGUCUAGCACCUACAUUGUGUUGUGAGAGAGACGAAAUAUAUUCGAGAUAUAUAAAAAUAUAUUUAUCGCAAGGUAUCUUAAGAAGCCUUGUUAUUGUUCUUGUUACACAGGUAAAUAUUUACUUAAAAAGAGGUACUAAACACAUCUGUAAAUUAUAUGUUAUCUGUAAAUUACUCUUGAUUGAAUAAAUAUAUAUAUAUAUAUAUAUAUUUUUAAUUUAAUGUCAUUGUAAGAUACCAAAAUAUUAUAGCUUCGUGUGUGGACUCUGUCGAAUGGUACGUAAAAUAUACCUAUCGUAAGAUGCCUUGCAAUAACAUAUCUUUUGGUACGUAUAUUAUCGCUCCGUCUGUGACGGGCUAGUUUGGUGGCAUUCGAUUAUCAUCACGAGAUUAUUCUUUAACUUUAUGAAUAAAUAUAAUUUGAAUGUGAAAUAGGAAUAUUCUGCUGGCGCGGACCAGCUACUUUUCUAUUUUAACUCUUUAAUUCUUUAGAUAUAAAUUUUUUACACCCACCUCGGCUAAUAGCACCUAUUGUACCUACCGAUAUUUUGUAUAAUAUAAUAUAAUUCCCAAAAACCUUACCGUGUUUUUACAAGCUUUUAUUUACUUUCACCUGACCGUUGUUUGUAAUCAAAUCUUGCAAGUUAAAUUUGACCCACUUCCCGGUUUCCGAUGAAGCUGAAAAUUUGCAUACGUAUGUAAGUCGGGUGACAAUGCAAUAUUAUGGUAUCAUCGAGAUGAUCUGAUGAUGGAGACAGGAGGUGGCCAUAGGAACUCUGUGAUAAAACAACGUAACCUAAUUGUGUUUGGGGUUUUUAGAAUUGUCUCGAUGAGUAUUAGUUACUUGUGGAAAGAAAAGUACAGUCAGCGAUAAAAGUUAGUACCAAAAAUAAAAUUUUUGCCAAAAAACUUAUUCUUCGUUUUGAGAGUAAUUAUACUUCAUAGCCUUAAAAAUUAGAAUAUAUAUAGGUCUUUGCACCUCGGUAUUUUAUAAAGCAAGUACAAGAUCACAACUGGAGUCCAAUACGGGGCUCGGAACCGCUUACAGAGUUUUCACAUUGUCCGAUUUGGAAUGAAAGGCAAGCGGACCCCAGGCCCUCAUGAGCCGUGGCAAAAGCCGGGACAAGACAGCGUUAGGAAGAUGAUGAUUUAAGGAGAAACAUUAGUGGUCAAUUUUACACACAAACGUGCUCGUCAUUUUGGACUUUGGCCCUAGAUUCAUAUUUUUUUUAUAUAAGUUCAAUAUUACCCGUACCUGUGUCUGUACGGUUUGCUUUUUUGAUAGAAUAUUUUUAUAAGAACUAGGCUUCUUUCAAAAACGCUAAAAACUGCCAUAUAAAUGCGCCAUACGUUGCUAGGCGUCUGCCUAGCAUACAAAGUCGGCAACAAUAAAAGCAAAAAUCAAACCGGUCAGACACAGAUAAUAUCUUUCUCAACCCGUUCCCAAAAUUUCGUUACGAUUGGUUAAGUUUUAGAAGAGGAAAAUGUCAAGAAUCAAACCUCCAUUUCUGAGAUUUUUACUAAUUUUGGAGCCGCCCCCGUCAGUGCAAUGGAGAUAUUCCUGUAGUUGACUCUGUUCACCCAGCUCAAAUCACCUGGUUCAAUUAAGUAAACUAAAAAUACACUUUAUUCACCUUUACGUCAUUGUCAAAUUUGUGACAUAUUUUUCGUUUACUUAUUUACCUAAAAUUCUCCAAUAUUAAAAGAGGCUUAGCUGGUAUUUCCUUUUAAGACUGUGUGGCUGCUUCUUAUACAAAUAAAGUGCCAGUUGUAAAUUUCAUUAGCGGCGGUGCCCUAGCUUUAGCGUUAUCAGUUAAAAUAGUGCUCGGUGGCGUAAACGUCGCAUGUGUCUCACAUAUUAUAAAAAAAAUAGUAACAUUAGUAUUAUAAAAGACAGUUUUACACUGAUCGAUCGUGUCCCACAGUAAGCUCUAUAAAGGUUAAUAAAACAAACACUAGCACCAUGGGCUUAGUCGGGGUUCAAAAUGAUGUUAAAAUACUAUUUUAUAUUGUGAACUCACUUAUCGGGUUAGUCCCCGGAUUCCUGACGUUCUCUUACGGCGUGGCGUUCGGAGUCAACUUCGGGAUGCAAUUCGGACCGUUCCCCUUGGUCCUCGUAGUAACUGGGAUCCUAGUGCUGGGCGCCACCGCGCUCGGCUACUUCGGGGCCAUCAAAGAACACAGGAUAACGCUUUACAUUUAUUCCGGUCUGUUGGCACUGGCAGCGGUGGGAGACCUCGUGACGUACGUGGUGAUGGAGCCUACGAACCCCAGGAGGGACCCUACAUUGCUGGCUACGCCCCUCGUGCAUCUUGGCCUAUCCUUACUGGCGCUAGGUCUGGCUGUUACCCUAGCGAGACGAGCUCGCAAUGAUGAUGAUGUCAACUACGAGUAGAAGUGUUUGCACAAUGUCCGAUACGAUAUCGGAGGUCGGAUGAUCUUUGGAGAAACGCAACUGCUAAAGAGUAUAGGAUUAAGUACUUCUUUUUGGUUUCACGUUAUUGAACAAUAAAUAAAUAAAUAUUGUAGGAGACAAUUUGACUAAGUUCCACAGUAAGCUCAAUAAGGCUUAUGAUGUAGGUACUUUUUAGAUUUUAUUCUACGACUUUGUCGGCUUUAUUGAUUUAUAUAUCCAUGCCAAAUUUCGGCUUUCUAGCACUAACGACCACGGAGCAAAGCCUCGGACUGACAGACAGACGGACAUGGCGAAACUAUAAGGGUUCCUAGUUGACUACGGAACCCUAAAAAGGGGCUCGUGGUCGUAUCCGACUUCCGAUCGGACUAUGUGAAAAUGCUCUAAGGCUGCGCACUUCACCCGCCGCCGCCGCGCCGCGUAGAAGUGUCUUGAAAUAAAUAGAUGUUGUAGGACAAUUUUACUCAAAUUUGCUCAGACUAAAGUAAGCUCAAUAAGCCGUGUACACAUUUUGUAUGGUUCAAUUAACACGAAAGUGGAAAACCUGCGCGAUAUCACCUUUUCGUACAAACGUAGUCCUCAUUUUCCACUCUGGAUAAUUAGUGGAUAUUAAUAUUAUUGAAAAUAUUUUGACACAAUUUGUUAUAUAUUAAUAUCAAUCACAGCGAUGCCCCUAUGUUUGAUAUCUUUCGGAUUUUUUAUUUAAUUACAAGAAUUAGGAGCAUUUAAGAAUUUGUAUGAAAUCUGUUUAUGCUUCUAACUUUUACAAUAAUCAAAAAUCUAAAAAAGUCAUCGCUUAUGUAAAAAUAUUUUCUAUAAUGUCAACAUCCAGAGAGGAAAAUGGGAACUGCGUUUGUAUGGAGAAACGGCCGUCCUCUUUCUUCUUAAGUUCUAUCUGUAAGUACCUAAGCUGCUAUUUACCUAUGCUACCUCACGACCUAAUAUUGGACCUAACUGGAAAUGUUGUAUGACUUAAUUAAAUUUAAAUAAUACUCUGUAGGUACCACAUAAGCUAUCUGUGCCCCUAGUGUAUAUUUAAUCGAUAGCGUGACGUGACGUACGCGUCUGCGUUAAGUCUCAUUUUGUAUGGGAUUUUGAGUUUCCAUAACGUUCCGCUUGGCGUGCUGUUUCUAAAUCCCAUACUAAAUGAGACUUAACGCAAACGCGUACGUCACGUCACGCCGAUUAAAUUUACACUAGGGGCACAGAUCUACCUAAGCUGAGGUAGCAUUGUACCUAAUAAAUUUUCUCAUUUUCUGAUUAUAUACUCGUACGUAUCUUAUCCGUCCGACGACGAUGCGAAAAAUGUCACAUCGAUAAAAAACUUUUAACAAUAAACAUAUACGUAUAUUUGUAA
Cydia pomonella (codling moth) is the source of this 6266-nucleotide RNA transcript. RefSeq lists it as uncharacterized. The record is from RefSeq and is a predicted model, not a curated record. The transcript has 7 exons. NCBI's taxonomy places the organism in Eukaryota, Metazoa, Arthropoda, Insecta, Lepidoptera, Tortricidae.